UGGGCUACACACACGCUACAAUGGCCAACACGAAUAGGUUGCUAAGCCGCGAGGUGGCGCCAAUCCAUAAAGUUGGUCUCAGUUCAGAUUGUAGGCUGCAACCCGCCUGCAUGAAGAUGGAGUUGCUAGUAACCGCAGGUCAGCAUACUGCGGUGAAUACGUUCCCGGGCCUU
This 173-nucleotide ribosomal RNA is filed under the name uncultured Leptolinea sp. Its description in RNAcentral is "partial 16S ribosomal RNA". It matches the Rfam family "Bacterial small subunit ribosomal RNA", at positions 1210 to 1382 of the family's 1533-position model. The record is from RNAcentral. Lineage: Bacteria; Bacillati; Chloroflexota; Anaerolineae; Anaerolineales; Anaerolineaceae.